RNAcentral lists this ribosomal RNA (428 nucleotides) under uncultured bacterium. Its description in RNAcentral is "partial 16S ribosomal RNA". It matches the Rfam family "Bacterial small subunit ribosomal RNA", at positions 354 to 796 of the family's 1533-position model. The record is from RNAcentral.
GUAAGGAAUAUUGGACAAUGGGGGCAACCCUGAUCCAGCGACGCCGCGUGAGUGAUGAAGGCCUUCGGGUCGUAAAGCUCUGUUGCAGGGGAAGAACACAAUGACGGUACCCUGCUAGAAAGGAUCGGCUAACUUCGUGCCAGCAGCCGCGGUAAGACGAGGGAUCCUAGCGUUGUUCGGAAUUAUUGGGCGUAAAGCGGGUGCAGGUGGCUUGGUAAGUCAGAUGUGAAAGCCUGGGGCUUAACCCCAGAAGUGCAUUUGAUACUGCUGAGCUUGAGUGCUGGAGAGGCUAUUAGAAUUCCUGGUGUAGUGGUGAAAUACGUAGAUAUCAGGAGGAAUACCGGAGGCGAAGGCGGAUAGCUGGCCAGACACUGACACUCAGACCCGAAAGCGUGGGGAUCAAACAGGAUUAGAUACCCUAGUAGUCC